GCUGGGUGUGGUGUUGUGUGCCUGUAGUCCCAGCUACUUGGGAGACUGAGGCUGGAGGAUCUCUUGAGUACAGGAGUUCUGGGCUGUGUAGUGCGCUAUGCCGAUCGGGUGUCUGCACUAAGUUCAGCAUCAAUAUGGUGACCUCCCGGGAGCCGGGGACCACCAGGUCGCCUAAGGAGGGGUGAACCUGCCUAGCUCGGAAACGGAGCAGGUUAGAACUCCCGUGCUGAUGAGUAGUGGGAUCGCGCCUGUGAAUAGCCACUGCACUCCAGCCUGGGCAACAUAGCGAGACCCCAUCUCU
Molecule: signal recognition particle RNA, 301 nt
Filed under: Saimiri boliviensis boliviensis (Bolivian squirrel monkey)
Lineage: Eukaryota; Metazoa; Chordata; Mammalia; Primates; Cebidae
Description: Metazoan signal recognition particle RNA (ENSSBOG00000008366.1)
Rfam family: Metazoan signal recognition particle RNA
About the family: The signal recognition particle (SRP) is a universally conserved ribonucleoprotein. It is involved in the co-translational targeting of proteins to membranes.
Source: RNAcentral